UACGGAGGAUCCAAGCGUUAUCCGGAUUUAUUGGGUUUAAAGGGUGCGUAGGCGGCCUGUUAAGUCAGGGGUGAAAGACGGUAGCUCAACUAUCGCAGUGCCCUUGAUACUGAUGGGCUUGAAUGGACUAGAGGUAGGCGGAAUGAGACAAGUAGCGGUGAAAUGCAUAGAUAUGUCUCAGAACACCGAUUGCGAAGGCAGCUUACUAUGGUCUUAUUGACGCUGAGGCACGAAAGCGUGGGGGAUCAAACAGG
This 254-nucleotide ribosomal RNA is filed under the name uncultured bacterium. Its description in RNAcentral is "partial 16S ribosomal RNA". It matches the Rfam family "Bacterial small subunit ribosomal RNA", at positions 524 to 776 of the family's 1533-position model. The record is from RNAcentral.